AUUGAACGCUGGCGGCGGGCCUAACACAUGCAAGUCGAACGGUAGCACAGAGAGCUUGCUCUCGGGUGACGAGUGGCGGACGGGUGAGUAAUGUCUGGGAAACUGCCCGAUGGAGGGGGAUAACUACUGGAAACGGUAGCUAAUACCGCAUAACGUCGCAAGACCAAAGUGGGGGACCUUCGGGCCUCACACCAUCGGAUGUGCCCAGAUGGGAUUAGCUAGUAGGUGGGGUAAUGGCUCACCUAGGCGACGAUCCCUAGCUGGUCUGAGAGGAUGACCGACCACACUGGAACUGCGACACGGUCCAGACUCCUACGGGAGGCAGCAGUGGGGAAUAUUGCACAAUGGGCGCAAGCCUGAUGCAGCCAUGCCGCGUGUAUGAAGAAGGCCUUCGGGUUGUAAAGUACUUUCAGCGGGGAGGAAGGCGGUGGAGUUAAUAACUUCACCGAUUGACGUUACCCGCAGAAGAAGCACCGGCUAACUCCGUGCCAGCCGCCGCCGUAA
RNAcentral lists this ribosomal RNA (504 nucleotides) under uncultured bacterium. RNAcentral describes it as "partial 16S ribosomal RNA". It matches the Rfam family "Bacterial small subunit ribosomal RNA", at positions 30 to 523 of the family's 1533-position model. The record is from RNAcentral.